CCCAAGUAGGCAGAGAGAGGCAGGCAGAGAGAGAGGGGGAAGCAGGCUCCCUGCUGAGCAGAGAGCCCGAUGCGGGGCUCAAUCCCAGGACCCUGAGAUCACGACCUGGGCCAAAGGCAGAGGCUUAACCCACUGAGCCACCCAGGCGCUCCUACCUGCCACUUUUUGUGGUUUCUUUGAGGUCUGCUUAACUCACGGCCACUCACCUGCCAUUCUGAUCUUUUGUCCCCUUAGUGUGUGUGUGUGUAUGUAUGUAUGUAUGUAUGUAUGUAUGUAUGUGUGUGUGUAUGUGCGCGCACGUGCACAUGCUCCUGCUUCUGCGUGGGCACAUGCCCACACAGACACACACACACACCCUGUGACAGGAAUGUCUCUCACACACAAGCCCUCCUCUCCCAGCCUCGGGAAGGCCUGGGGGCUUUCUCAGACUGUUCUCACACCCCUGAGGGGGCCUCGAACAGACCCAGGACAGCGCAGAAAGGAUUUUAAAACGGCCUCUGCUCUGGAGAGAUAAUCAGUAACCACAAACAGUCACCUAUUCUUACAGGUCUGUUAAUGAUUUCUAGUAAAAUAAAACUUACUUUACCAACGUUAAAGGAGACCUCGGGACUAAAUUUUUGGAAUCUGAAGUGCCGAGUUCGGAGUAUAAACUUUGCCUUCUCUUGGAAAACAGAUGAUUUCGACGAAGGGAGGGAUUAUGUUGCUUUCCGAGCCCCCUUUGGAAAGAUCUCCAUGUGUGCUACGGCCAGAGUAAAAGCUCCUCCUGGGAGGCCUGUCUCUGGCUUCAAGACGGAAGCUCUGAAGAUGCGAUCAAGUGUGGGUAGGGAUUCUAUGUCAGAUGUGUCCAGUCCCUCUGAAAAAUCCGGGUUUUCAGAACAGGGAGGGGGAGAAGAAUAUUCUAGAAGAGCUUCCGUGGAGGUGGCACUCAGCCUGAGCACAUUCUGCAUCGGUCCUUCCAGAGACUCCUAUAUCUGA
This 975-nucleotide long non-coding RNA is filed under the name Mustela putorius furo (domestic ferret). RNAcentral's name for it is "lncRNA (ENSMPUG00000030082.1)". The record is from RNAcentral. Lineage: Eukaryota; Metazoa; Chordata; Mammalia; Carnivora; Mustelidae.